RNAcentral lists this ribosomal RNA (1478 nucleotides) under metagenome. RNAcentral describes it as "bacterial LSU rRNA". It matches the Rfam family "Bacterial large subunit ribosomal RNA", at positions 1471 to 2925 of the family's 2925-position model. The record is from RNAcentral.
UUUGGAGAAGGCUAUGUUGGCCGGGCGACGGUUGUCCCGGUUUAAGCGUGUAGGCUGGUUUUCCAGGCAAAUCCGGAAAAUCAAGGCUGAGGCGUGAUGACGAGGCACUACGGUGCUGAAGCAACAAAUGCCCUGCUUCCAGGAAAAGCCUCUAAGCAUCAGGUAAUAUCAAAUCGUACCCCAAACCGACACAGGUGGUCAGGUAGAGAAUACCAAGGCGCUUGAGAGAACUCGGGUGAAGGAACUAGGCAAAAUGGUGCCGUAACUUCGGGAGAAGGCACGCUGAUAUGUAGGUGAAGCGACUUGCUCGUGGAGCUGAAAUCAGUCGAAGAUACCAGCUGGCUGCAACUGUUUAUUAAAAACACAGCACUGUGCAAACACGAAAGUGGACGUAUACGGUGUGACGCCUGCCCGGUGCCGGAAGGUUAAUUGAUGGGGUUAGCGCAAGCGAAGCUCUUGAUCGAAGCCCCGGUAAACGGCGGCCGUAACAAUAACGGUCCUAAGGUAGCGAAAUUCCUUGUCGGGUAAGUUCCGACCUGCACGAAUGGCGUAAUGAUGGCCAGGCUGUCUCCACCCGAGACUCAGUGAAAUUGAACUCGCUGUGAAGAUGCAGUGUACCCGCGGCAAGACGGAAAGACCCCGUGAACCUUUACUAUAGCUUGACACUGAACAUUGAGCCUUGAUGUGUAGGAUAGGUGGGAGGCUUUGAAGUGUGGACGCCAGACUGCAUGGAGCCGACCUUGAAAUACCACCCUUUAAUGUUUGAUGUUCUAACGUUGACCCGUAAUCCGGGUUGCGGACAGUGUCUGGUGGGUAGUUUGACUGGGGCGGUCUCCUCCUAAAGAGUAACGGAGGAGCACGAAGGUUGGCUAAUCCUGGUCGGACAUCAGGAGGUUAGUGCAAUGGCAUAAGCCAGCUUGACUGCGAGCGUGACGGCGCGAGCAGGUGCGAAAGCAGGUCAUGGUGAUCCGGUGGUUCUGAAUGGAAGGGCCAUCGCUCAACGGAUAAAAGGUACUCCGGGGAUAACAGGCUGAUACCGCCCAAGAGUUCAUAUCGACGGCGGUGUUUGGCACCUCGAUGUCGGCUCAUCACAUCCUGGGGCUGAAGUAGGUCCCAAGGGUAUGGCUGUUCGCCAUUUAAAGUGGUACGCGAGCUGGGUUUAGAACGUCGUGAGACAGUUCGGUCCCUAUCUGCCGUGGGCGCUGGAGAACUGAGGGGGGCUGCUCCUAGUACGAGAGGACCGGAGUGGACGCAUCACUGGUGUCCGGGUUGUCAUGCCAAUGGCACUGCCCGGUAGCUAAAUGCGGAAGAGAUAAGUGCUGAAAGCAUCUAAGCACGAAACUUGCCCCGAGAUGAGUUCUCCCUGACUCCUUGAGAGUCCUGAAGGAACGUUGAAGACGACGACGUUGAUAGGCCGGGUGUGUAAGCGCAGCGAUGCGUUGAGCUAACCGGUACUAAUGAACCGUGAGGCUUAACCU